This 380-nucleotide transfer-messenger RNA is filed under the name bovine gut metagenome. It matches the Rfam family "transfer-messenger RNA". From Rfam's summary of the family: Bacterial tmRNA, also known as 10Sa RNA or SsrA, is named for its dual tRNA and mRNA-like properties. Its role is to liberate the mRNA from a stalled ribosome. To accomplish this part of the tmRNA is used as a reading frame that ends in a translation stop signal. The record is from RNAcentral.
GGGGGUGUUUUGGUUUUGACAGCGCUGAUGCUGGACGGUAAGCAUGUCGGGCCUCGGAACCUGUCCCGUAAAACGCAGAUUCCAAAAAAUCAGUUGCUCGCUGCUUAAUUUGCCAAGCAAAUUAGCUUAAUCCGCGACGCCAAGGCUGCGCCGCCGACGAGUAUCCCUCGGACCUUCCGCCUCUUAAGGGCCGAUCAAGGGGUAUCAUCCAUUUGAGGCUGCUCCGGUGGACGCCUUUAAAGCCGGCUAAGCCUUAAAGGCUAAGGGAUGCUUCGCCCGCCUUCCGGCAGGGCCUCCUCGAAAACCAAAGGAAGGAUAAGCAUGUAGAAAGCCGCCUGGUGCGACGUUUGGACAGCGGUUCGAGUCCGCUCACCUCCACU